This is a long non-coding RNA of Quercus lobata, 509 nucleotides long. RefSeq lists it as uncharacterized. Lineage: Eukaryota; Viridiplantae; Streptophyta; Magnoliopsida; Fagales; Fagaceae. The transcript has 2 exons. The record is from RefSeq and is a predicted model, not a curated record.
UUCAAAAAGAAAAAGCCAUGCCCCCACAAUAUUAGUAUAUAUAUAUACUAUAUAGAGCUCUUUUGUGACUAACUUCCUAUGUGCGUAUAGAAUUUAUUAGUCCAAAUUAAAUUAGAAGUGGAAAUGGCUAUGCCCAAGUGUUUUUGGCUCUUUUUCUGGUUCUGUAUGAUCGUUGCCAUGCUUCAACAACCAAGAGAGUUAGAAGCCAGGCCAUUGACACUUCAAAAAGGGCGCUUAAAUAACUUUGUUGCAACACUUGGGAUUGAGUGCAAGUGUUGUGAUGGAAUAAAAGGUGAAUGCAGGAGCACCUGGGACUCUUCUUGCCCCAAGCUUCAAUGCCUUCCAUGGAAGCACCAGUAAUUAAAUGUAUAAGGAUUAAGGAAUAUACUUUUAUGCCUGUUGUACUAUAUGUAUUGUAAUCUCUUAUAUUCCUAUGCUAUAUUAUUUAUGUUGACUACUUUUGACUUUGCCUUCUUACUAAUAAAAGGCGUUCUGUAAUAUAUUUACUC